Molecule: ribosomal RNA, 308 nt
Filed under: uncultured bacterium
Lineage: Bacteria
Description: partial 16S ribosomal RNA
Rfam family: Bacterial small subunit ribosomal RNA
Source: RNAcentral
GAGACAGCAGUAGCCACGGUAAUGCGUAGGUGGCAAGCGUUGUCCGGAAUUAUUGGGCGUAAAGGGCUCGCAGGCGGUUUCUUAAGUCUGAUGUGAAAGCCCCCGGCUCAACCGGGGAGGGUCAUUGGAAACUGGGAAACUUGAGUGCAGAAGAGGAGAGUGGAAUUCCACGUGUAGCGGUGAAAUGCGUAGAGAUGUGGAGGAACACCAGUGGCGAAGGCGACUCUCUGGUCUGUAACUGACGCUGAGGAGCGAAAGCGUGGGGAGCGAACAGGAUUAGAUACCCGCGUAGUCCCUGUCUCUUAUAC